Molecule: ribosomal RNA, 484 nt
Filed under: uncultured bacterium
Lineage: Bacteria
Description: partial 16S ribosomal RNA
Rfam family: Bacterial small subunit ribosomal RNA
Source: RNAcentral
AUUGAACGCUGGCGGCAGGCCUAACACAUGCGAGUCGAGCGGAUGAAGGGAGCUUGCUCCUGGAUUCAGCGGCGGACGGGUGAGUAAUGCCUAGGAAUCUGCCUGGUAGUGGGGGAUAACGUCCGGAAACGGGCGCUAAUACCGCAUACGUCCUGAGGGAGAAAGUGGGGGAUCUUCGGACCCCACGCUAUCAGAUGAGCCUAGGUCGGAUUAGCUAGUUGGUGGGGUAAAGGCCUACCAAGGCGACGAUCCGUAACUGGUCUGAGAGGAUGAUCAGUCACACUGGAACUGAGACACGGUCCAGACUCCUACGGGAGGCAGCAGUGGGGAAUAUUGGACAAUGGGCGAAAGCCUGAUCCAGCCAUGCCGCGUGUGUGAAGAAGGUCUUCGGAUUGUAAAGCACUUUAAGUUGGGAGGAAGGGCAGUAAGUUAAUACCUUGCUGUUUUGACGUUACCAACAGAAUAAGCACCGGCUAACUUCGUG